GCUACUACCGAUUGAAUGGUUUAGCGAGAUGCUCGGAUCGGGCCCAGCUCGUGCGAAAGCAUGUGCCGGGACUGAGAAGAAGUUCAAGCUUGAUCAUUUAGAGGAAGUAAAAGUCGUAACAAGGUUUCUGUAGGUGAACCUGCAGAAGGAUCAAGAUCUGACAAGCGUCGUGUAGGUAAAGUGUUUUGAUCUCGGUGUUCGCCUUAUCAUUCAAAACACAAAUCUUUAUUACUCUUUUUCUACUUUUUGUCUACUCUCUCCUUACUUUCUUGUUUCC
Molecule: unclassified non-coding RNA, 277 nt
Filed under: sea anemone metagenome
Description: partial contains small subunit ribosomal RNA and internal transcribed spacer 1
Rfam family: Eukaryotic small subunit ribosomal RNA (bases 1-156)
Source: RNAcentral